AUUCCAGCUCCAAUAGCGUAUAUUAAAGUUGUUGUGGUUAAAAAGCUCGUAGUUGGAUCUCGGCGGACUGAGGGCGGUUUGCUUGCUAGUAUUACUGCCCUAUAGUCCGUAGUUUUGCCAGAGGUUUCGAGGUGCUCUUAAUCGAGUGUCCCGGGAUGCUGGCAGGUUUACCUUGAAAAAAUUAGAGUGCUCAAAGCAGGCUAUUACGCCUGAAUAUUCGUGCAUGGAAUAAUAGAAUAGGAAGUCGUUUCUAUUUUGUUGGUUUUCGGAAAUCGACUUAAUGAUUAAUAGGGACAGUCGGGGGCAUUUGUAUUCAAACGACAGAGGUGAAAUUCUUGGACCGUUUGAAGACAAGCUACUGCGAAAGCAUUUGCCAAGAAUGUUUUCAUUA
Molecule: ribosomal RNA, 391 nt
Filed under: Calanus sp.
Lineage: Eukaryota; Metazoa; Arthropoda; Copepoda; Calanoida; Calanidae
Description: partial small subunit ribosomal RNA
Rfam family: Eukaryotic small subunit ribosomal RNA
Source: RNAcentral